CUCAAAUGUUUCUGAGGAAUGUGAACACAUCCUUAAAAAUAGGUUUGUUAAAAACAAAAAUAAAAAACCCAAGGGUUGUUUAGAAGAUAAACAGUUUCUGGUAAGGCAAAGGAAGUAUAAAUUCACACCACCCACUUGUUUAAAAAUAGCUGGUGUUUCUUACAGGUCAGAAAAACCUGUUGCAGUAUGCAGACAUGUGUUUGUGUUUGCCUGUCUGUUUCCUGCGGAAAAAUACUACAAGUGUCCGUACGGGCAAAUUAAUGUGGAGGAUCCUACUAAGAAGAAACUUCAACUCUUUGUUUUAUGUAUAGUAGUAAAUGUUAAGAUCGGCUGAACAACUCAUUUUGUGUGUUCCCAUAUUGAAUUUGGACUUCUUUUAAUGCACAUUCGUCUUACACUCUGUUUAAAAUGAUGAAAUACGCUACACCAGAUGUGCAACCCACACUCCAGGAAAUGGUUUGAAUCACAUCUAUCCACUGUGAUUUGACUUACAGGAGUUGGUGUGCUCCUCUGUCAGAUGAAUUCCACAAGCGGGAAUUUUCGCAGUGAUGAAUAUUCAUACGGUUACAGGCGAUCUUAAUUUUGACAGCUGUCAAUUCAGACUACGUGCUUCCUCCCUGGUAAAUGUACGACCAAGAAAACACCAUGGAAAAUGAAGUCUUCUCAUAAAAUGUGUGUUGACGUUAAAUACAUAGGCUUAGAAGGCUUCGUUUCAUGUUUAAAAAACCUGUAAAAACACAAAUUAUAUUUAAAGAGUUAACAGAAGUAUUUAUUAUUAUUUUAUGUAACUUAAACUAAUUAAAAUUACCUUUCUAGAAGUUCUCAAAUGUAUUUUGGCUUUGCUUCAACAGGUCUUGUACAAUUUACAUAUGCUAUAUACAGGGUUGUUGUCAAGGCCCUGUGUAAAAAUGUCCUUAACGGCAUACACUUUGAGCUACUUUGAGGGUGCAGGAGAUUAACAAUAAAAAAUGGUCCUUGGCCCUUUCAGCAACGACUGUAUGUGUUUGAGAUUCCGUGUGCAUGUUUAUGUAUUUACGCAUAAAGAAUUGUUUAAUUGCAUAUAAAGUUUAUUCAUUCAAAGUACAUCAUAUUCAAAGUACAUCACAUUCAGUUGUUAGUGUCUGCUACCUCCUGGCCAUUAUAUGCAUCUUCAUAUUUGCCUGUCUGAUUUAUAUCUCCCUGUGGCUAACUGAGAUUGAUACUCAGGUUUUCCAUCCACUGAAACUGAUUUCAG
Long non-coding RNA from Cyprinus carpio carpio, 1234 nucleotides. Lineage: Eukaryota; Metazoa; Chordata; Actinopteri; Cypriniformes; Cyprinidae. The record is from Ensembl.